This 1541-nucleotide ribosomal RNA is filed under the name Bacteroidales bacterium. RNAcentral's name for it is "partial 16S ribosomal RNA". It matches the Rfam family "Bacterial small subunit ribosomal RNA". Lineage: Bacteria; Pseudomonadati; Bacteroidota; Bacteroidia; Bacteroidales. The record is from RNAcentral.
AAACAACGGAGAGUUUGAUCCUGGCUCAGGAUGAACGCUAGCGGCAGGCUUAACACAUGCAAGUCGAGGGGCAGCGGGGAGGAAGCUUGCUUUCUCCGCCGGCGACCGGCGCACGGGUGAGUAACACGUAUGCAACCUGCCCCUGUCAGGGGGACAACCCGCCGAAAGGCGGGCUAAACCCGCGUACAUGCCACCGGGGCAUCCCGGAGGCAGGAAAGGCUUCGGCCGGACAGGGAUGGGCAUGCGGCGCAUUAGGCAGUAGGCGGGGUAACGGCCCACCUAACCGACGAUGCGUAGGGGUUCUGAGAGGAAGGUCCCCCACACUGGUACUGAGACACGGACCAGACUCCUACGGGAGGCAGCAGUGAGGAAUAUUGGUCAAUGGUCGGGAGACUGAACCAGCCAAGCCGCGUGAGGGAGGAAGGUACAGAGUAUCGUAAACCUCUUUUGUCAGGGAACAAAGGCGGGGACGUGUCCCCGGAUGAGUGUACCUGAAGAAAAAGCAUCGGCUAACUCCGUGCCAGCAGCCGCGGUAAUACGGAGGAUGCGAGCGUUAUCCGGAUUUAUUGGGUUUAAAGGGUGCGCAGGCGGUCUGUUAAGUCAGCGGUCAAAGCCCGGGGCUCAACCCCGGCCCGCCGUUGAAACUGGCAGUCUCGAGUUGGAGAGAAGUAUGCGGAAUGCGCGGUGUAGCGGUGAAAUGCAUAGAUAUCGCGCAGAACUCCGAUUGCGAAGGCAGCAUGCCGGCUCCACACUGACGCUGAGGCACGAAAGCGUGGGUAUCGAACAGGAUUAGAUACCCUGGUAGUCCACGCAGUAAACGAUGAAUGCUGGCUGUCCGGGGGGAYUGACCCCUGGGUGGCGAAGCGAAAGCGAUAAGCAUUCCACCUGGGGAGUACGCCGGCAACGGUGAAACUCAAAGGAAUUGACGGGGGCCCGCACAAGCGGAGGAACAUGUGGUUUAAUUCGAUGAUACGCGAGGAACCUUACCCGGGCUCAAACGGGGAGUGACUCAGGCAGAGACGCCUGUUUCCCACGGGACACUCCCCGAGGUGCUGCAUGGUUGUCGUCAGCUCGUGCCGUGAGGUGUCGGCUUAAGUGCCAUAACGAGCGCAACCCCCGCGUGCAGUUGCUAACAGAUAACGCUGAGGACUCUGCACGGACUGCCGGCGCAAGCCGCGAGGAAGGCGGGGAUGACGUCAAAUCAGCACGGCCCUUACGUCCGGGGCGACACACGUGUUACAAUGGGUGGUACAGCGGGAAGCCAGGCGGCGACGCCGAGCGGAACCCGAAAUCCACUCUCAGUUCGGAUCGGAGUCUGCAACCCGACUCCGUGAAGCUGGAUUCGCUAGUAAUCGCGCAUCAGCCAUGGCGCGGUGAAUACGUUCCCGGGCCUUGUACACACCGCCCGUCAAGCCAUGGGAGCCGAGGGCGCUUGAAGUGCGUCGCCGCGAGGCGCGCCCUAGAGCGAAAUCGGUGACUGGGGCUAAGUCGUAACAAGGUARCCGUACCGGAAGGUGCGGCUGGAACACCUCCUUUCUGGA